RNAcentral lists this microRNA precursor (209 nucleotides) under Oryza nivara. RNAcentral's name for it is "MIR812 microRNA precursor family". The stretch from base 26 to 209 matches the Rfam family "MIR812 microRNA precursor family", at positions 26 to 205 of the family's 205-position model. The record is from Rfam by way of RNAcentral. Lineage: Eukaryota; Viridiplantae; Streptophyta; Magnoliopsida; Poales; Poaceae.
GAGUACUCCAUCCAUCCCAAAAAUAGGCAAACAUUGGUUAGUGUCCGUCUUAUAUGAAAAUUUUUUAUAAUUCGUAUUUUCAUUAUUGUGAGAUGAUAAAACAUGAUUAAUAUUUUAUGCGUGACUUGUCUUUUUUAUUUUUUUUCAUAAUUUUUUUAAAUAAGACGGAAGGUCAAACGUUGGGCAUGGAAACCAGGGUUUCUCUUUUU